Non-coding RNA from Hamiltosporidium tvaerminnensis, 74 nucleotides. NCBI's taxonomy places the organism in Eukaryota, Fungi, Microsporidia, Dubosqiidae. The record is from the annotation of a GenBank genome assembly.
GCUUUCGUGGUGUAGUUGGCUAUCACGCGUCCUUCACACGGGCGAGGUCUCCGGUUCGAUCCCGGACGAAGGCA